This is a long non-coding RNA of Poeciliopsis prolifica (blackstripe livebearer), 1109 nucleotides long. RefSeq lists it as uncharacterized. The record is from RefSeq and is a predicted model, not a curated record. The transcript is spliced from 4 exons. Lineage: Eukaryota; Metazoa; Chordata; Actinopteri; Cyprinodontiformes; Poeciliidae.
GGGGCUUGCUACGGAACCACGAAGUUAACUGCAAGUUAAAGGUAAAAGUUCCUUCUUUUCGCAGCAACAUGGAAGGAGAGAGGACCAGUUCCUACAAAGAGCUAUUGGCUUCUAAAGACUGAGGGGAUGAGGACGUAAAACCAAUGGCUGUGAACGUGGUCUAAACUGGAUGAAUUGAAUCCUCGGAUGAUGGUACAGUCCCAGGAUUAAAUCAGCUGGUGGGAAUGGGAGUGAAAACGGAUGUCUGGAUGAGAGAGCUUGAAAGCCAGCGCAGAAGACCGCCUCAUUCUGGGACUCCCUUUCAUGGUAAACUCUGAAGUUGCAUGGAAUCAGCAAAGCUAAUUCUUAUUCUUACCUCAGAUGUUCUAUAAUUAACUUAUUCACUUUAUAACUAUAUUUGUACCUUUUUCUAGAUGACUAGUGAGAUUUUUUUUGCAGAACUAGUGAUGAAUAAAUCUUGCUGCCCUCUGUCCUGAGCGAGCAGAGUGCGCAGCCAUUAGCCGCUACUAGCUUCUGCUUUCUAACCUCAACCCCAAAAUAACCUGUGUACUUUUUGGAAAACAAAAAAACUGAUUUAUAUUUGUAACAUUUUUGAUAUCGACAAUGUUUUUUGAUAUCGACAAGCUGAUUUGCGGGUUAGUUACGCUUGAAUUGCUGCUCUGUCAUUGUUGCUAUAGUUCCACCUUAAAUGUUUUUGGUUUGCAUUCAAAUGUGAUUCUGACAAAAGGCGUCCGUCCAUCGCAUGCAGGCUGAAAGAUCGAAUCUGAAGAACAACCUUUUUGUUCAGUUGUAUUUGCUGAAUAAACCACUGAACAGUAUCUAAAAUGCUUUGUGGAUUUUUUUCUUAAUUGUAAAGUUGCUUCUAAUGAGGCAUUAUAUAUUUUCAACUUAUUGAAAAGUAAAAAGCUUGUUCUAAGUCUUGCAGGGGUCAAUCAAAACUGAACUGUGAACAAUUCUAUUUGUAUUUUUUUUUUAUUUAUUUAUUUUUGUUGGGGAGGGGGGAGGUGUUUUUGUUUCUCUUAUAUACUUAUGUAAUAUGAUAGACAACACAGUGUACAAUGUUAUAUUUCCUAUGUUUGUGAAACACAAAACUAAUAAAAAUGUUUAAA